CCCCUUCUUGCAUGCGCAGUUGUAUCAUGUAUGGAGGUGGAGAACUGAUGACGUUGACGAUCCUUGCGUUGCAGGCUUCGUGCGGGGCGGCCGGGUGUCGGCCAGGAACCCGCUGAUGACGAGGAACCUGGAGAGGAACGGCAGGAUCACCUGCAUGACGUGAGUACACCUCUGGCUAGCUUUGCCCAAGAGCGGCAGCGCGCGUUGUUCAUGUUGUCUCUGUGAAAUCGUUGCUGAUCGAUCUCGGCGGUUUUUUCCUUUCCCGUGUACGUGCUCGCCAGGUUUCCCCGGGACUGGCUGCGGAGGGACCUGAGCGUGAUCGGCUUCGGCCUCAUCGGGUGGAUCGGCCCGUCCAGCGUCCCCGUCAUCAACGGCAACAGCCUCACGGGCCUCUUCUUCUCCAGCAUCGGCGAGGAGCUCGCCCACUUCCCCACGCCCCCGCCAGUCACCUCCCAGUUCUGGUCAGGCUCAAGACCUCGCGCUCACGCUCUGCCUGGCCACUGUUUCUGACUUUCUGUACGGCAGCAGCAGCAUUUGAUGGGGCUUGUAACUGACAGACUCACACACGAAAUUGUUGCAGGCUGUGGAUGGUGACAUGGCACCUGGGCCUGUUCAUCGUGCUCACCUUCGGCCAGAUCGGCUUCAAGGGCAGGACCGAGGACUACUUCGAGAAGUGAAGCGGCUGAGCUCCAUCUGCUGAAGCGGCGUGCGUGCCGCAUCGAACCUUGCUUUGUAUAGGGCUCUGAUCUGGCUGAAUUCAUGUGUGGUG
RNAcentral lists this long non-coding RNA (769 nucleotides) under Setaria italica (foxtail millet). RNAcentral describes it as "long non-coding RNA (SITA_LNC005232)". The record is from RNAcentral. Lineage: Eukaryota; Viridiplantae; Streptophyta; Magnoliopsida; Poales; Poaceae.